AACGCACAUUGCGCCCCUCGGUAUUCCGGAGGGCAUGUCUGUUUGAGCGUCAUUUCAACCCUCGCUUCAAGCGGUAUUGAGCUUGGGAGUUCCAUUGCAAAAUGGGAAUCCAGCUUUAAAGUUGAAUGUUUUUUGCGGACGAAUGUUCUCGAAUAAAACAUAGUAAAAUCUUUUCAAAUGAUUUUCUCUUCUGUUUGUCCGUGAUAUUUGUCCCGCCGAACUAAACUCUAUAGAUAUAUUCUAUAUAUUUAUAGAGAUAAAUUUUUUUGGUUUGACCUCAGAUCAGACAAGAAUACCCGCUGAACUUAA
This 309-nucleotide unclassified non-coding RNA is filed under the name uncultured Ascomycota. RNAcentral's name for it is "sequence contains 5.8S rRNA gene, ITS2, 28S rRNA gene". Lineage: Eukaryota; Fungi; Ascomycota. The record is from RNAcentral.